UUGAACGCUGGCGGCAGGCCUAACACAUGCAAGUCGAGCGGAUGAAGGGAGCUUGCUCCUGGAUUCAGCGGCGGACGGGUGAGUAAUGCCUAGGAAUCUGCCUGGUAGUGGGGGAUAACGUCCGGAAACGGGCGCUAAUACCGCAUACGUCCUGAGGGAGAAAGUGGGGGAUCUUCGGACCUCACGCUAUCAGAUGAGCCUAGGUCGGAUUAGCUAGUUGGUGGGGUAAAGGCCUACCAAGGCGACGAUCCGUAACUGGUCUGAGAGGAUGAUCAGUCACACUGGAACUGAGACACGGUCCAGACUCCUACGGGAGGCAGCAGUGGGGAAUAUUGGACAAUGGGCGAAAGCCUGAUCCAGCCAUGACGCGUGUGUGAAGAAGGUCUUCGGAUUGUAAAGCACUUUAAGUUGGGAGGAAGGGCAGUAAGUUAAUACCUUGCUGUUUUGACGUUACCAACAGAAUAAGCACCGGCUAACUUCGUG
RNAcentral lists this ribosomal RNA (483 nucleotides) under uncultured bacterium. RNAcentral describes it as "partial 16S ribosomal RNA". It matches the Rfam family "Bacterial small subunit ribosomal RNA", at positions 30 to 507 of the family's 1533-position model. The record is from RNAcentral.